AUACCUACGGGGGGCAGCAGUGGGGAAUAUUAGACAAUGGGGGGAACCCUGAUCCAGCGACGCCGCGUGAGUGAAGAAGUAUUUCGGUAUGUAAAGCUCUAUCAGCAGGGAAGAAAGAAAUGACGGUACCUGACUAAGAAGCCCCGGCUAACUACGUGCCAGCAGCCGCGGUAAUACGUAGGGGGCAAGCGUUAUCCGGAUUUACUGGGUGUAAAGGGAGCGUAGACGGCAAUGCAAGUCUGGAGUGAAAGGCGGGGGCCCAACCCCCGGACUGCUCUGGAAACCGUAUAGCUG
This 294-nucleotide ribosomal RNA is filed under the name uncultured bacterium. RNAcentral's name for it is "partial 16S ribosomal RNA". It matches the Rfam family "Bacterial small subunit ribosomal RNA", at positions 335 to 643 of the family's 1533-position model. The record is from RNAcentral.